GGAGUGUUCAAGAAAUGUGUCUUAGCGGUAACCCUCGAGCACCAGCCUUGAGUUCAGCCAACUGCAGACUUCGUUCAUCUCUUUUGGGACCGUGUAAUGGCCGAGCCUGCAAAUAAGAUCAUCAUGGAUGAGCUUCUUAUGGAGGAGGUUCUGAUAGCAGAGCAUUACAGAUUUUCAAAUAUUUGGUGCGAGGAAUAGAUUCUACAGCUGAAAAAGAUCAUUUUGACAACACGCUCACCACUAAGUGGCUACACAGAGGUCAGAUGUUUAAAUAGAGUGACAGCAUGCCCCAUUCCUCAUAUGGGAUGAUGGGAUGAGCCUCUCCAACCCAGCUAAAGGAUAUCUUUCUUCUAUCUUCACCUUGUGUCUAGACUAGAUAUAAUGAAAGCAUAAUAUCACUAGGCAGGAAGCUGGUGCAAAUCCAUUGACUAGACAUUUGUGAACCACAGCUCAGUAAACUUAUUUUCUGUCCUACAAUAUUUUUUUUUAUGUUCCCAAGUGUCUAAGCUAAAGUUAUUCUCACGAGAUUAAUUAUUUGGUCUUAUUA
This is a long non-coding RNA of Cucurbita maxima (winter squash), 547 nucleotides long. RefSeq lists it as uncharacterized. NCBI's taxonomy places the organism in Eukaryota, Viridiplantae, Streptophyta, Magnoliopsida, Cucurbitales, Cucurbitaceae. The record is from RefSeq and is a predicted model, not a curated record. The transcript is spliced from 3 exons.